GGUUCCACGGUGUAGUGGUUAUCACAUCUGCUUUACAUGUAAAAGGUCCUGGGUUCCAGCCCCAGUGGAAGCA
Cricetulus griseus (Chinese hamster) is the source of this 73-nucleotide non-coding RNA. NCBI's taxonomy places the organism in Eukaryota, Metazoa, Chordata, Mammalia, Rodentia, Cricetidae. The record is from Rfam.